This 715-nucleotide ribosomal RNA is filed under the name Halichoeres nebulosus (nebulous wrasse). RNAcentral describes it as "partial 12S ribosomal RNA". The stretch from base 1 to 479 matches the Rfam family "Bacterial small subunit ribosomal RNA", at positions 866 to 1533 of the family's 1533-position model. Lineage: Eukaryota; Metazoa; Chordata; Actinopteri; Labriformes; Labridae. The record is from RNAcentral.
UAUCCGCCCGGGAACUACGAGCAUUAGCUUAAAACCCAAAGGACUUGACGGUGCUUUAGAUCCACCUAGAGGAGCCUGUUCUAGAACCGAUAAUCCCCGUUAAACCUCACCUUUCCUUGUCAAUACCGCUUAUAUACCGCCGUCGUCAGCUUACCCUUUGAAGAACCCGUAGUAUGCACAAUCGGCACAGCCCCAAACGCCAGGUCGAGGUGUAGCGUAUGGAAAGGGAUAGAAAUGGGCUACAUUCAAUAAAUCAUAAUGAAUACGGAUGAUAUCUUGAAAAUAGAUAUCUGAAGGGGGAUUUAGCAGUAAGUAAAGAAUAGAGUGCUUUACUGAAAUUAGGCCCUGAAGCGCGUACACACCGCCCGUCACUCUCCCCGAGCUCAUGAAAGCACAUUAAUAAUUCACGAAACCCGCAAAGGGGAGGCAAGUCGUAACAUGGUAAGCGUACCGGAAGGUGCGCUUGGAAAACCCCCCGAGGCAUAGCUUAACAGUCCAAAGCAUCUCCCCUACACUGAGACUAUCCCCGUGCAAAUCGGGUUGCCUUGAAGCCGAAUAGCUAGCCCCCAACCCCUUAAAACCAACCACCCACCCUUAAUAACCCCUAAUUUACUAAAAACACAAAACAAACCAUUUUUCCAUCUUAGUAUAGGAGAUAGAAAAGAGCCCUGGAGCAACAGAGAAAGUACCGCAAGGGAAAGCUGAAAGAGAAGUG